CCUACGGGAGGCAGCAGUGAGGAAUAUUGGUCAAUGUACGAGAGUCUGAACCAGCCAAGUAGCGUGAAGGAUGACUGCCCUAUGGGUUGUAAACUUCUUUUAUAUGGGAAUAAAAUGUUCCACGUGUGGGAUUUUGUAUGUACCAUAUGAAUAAGGAUCGGCUAACUCCGUGCCAGCAGCCGCGGUAAUACGGAGGAUCCGAGCGUUAUCCGGAUUUAUUGGGUUUAAAGGGAGCGUAGGUGGAUUGUUAAGUCAGUUGUGAAAGUUUGCGGCUCAACCGUAAAAUUGCAGUUGAAACUGGCAGUCUUGAGUACAGUAGAGGUGGGCGGAAGUCGUGGUGUAGCGGUGAAAUGCUUAGAUAUCACGAAGAACUCCGAUUGCGAAGGCAGUUCACUGGACUGCAACUGACACUGAGGCUCGAAAGUGUGGGUAUCAAACAGGAUUAGAUACCCUAGUAGUC
RNAcentral lists this ribosomal RNA (460 nucleotides) under uncultured bacterium. RNAcentral describes it as "partial 16S ribosomal RNA". It matches the Rfam family "Bacterial small subunit ribosomal RNA", at positions 338 to 795 of the family's 1533-position model. The record is from RNAcentral.